Molecule: ribosomal RNA, 506 nt
Filed under: uncultured bacterium
Lineage: Bacteria
Description: partial 16S ribosomal RNA
Rfam family: Bacterial small subunit ribosomal RNA
Source: RNAcentral
AUUGAACGCUGGCGGCAGGCUUAACACAUGCAAGUCGAGCGGUAACAGAGAGAAGCUUGCUUCUCUGCUGACGAGCGGCGGACGGGUGAGUAAUGCCUAGGAAUCUGCCUAGUAGUGGGGGAUAACUUGCCGAAAGGUAAGCUAAUACCGCAUACGUCCUACGGGAGAAAGGAGGGGACCUUCGGGCCUUUCGCUAUUAGAUGAGCCUAGGUCGGAUUAGUUAGUUGGUGAGGUAAUGGCUCACCAAGACCGCGAUCCGUAACUGGUCUGAGAGGAUUGUCAGUCACACUGGAACUGCGACACGGUCCAGACUCCUACGGGAGGCAGCAGUGGGGAAUAUUGGACAAUGGGGGGAACCCUGAUCCAGCCAUGCCGCGUGUGUGAAGAAGGUCUUAGGAUUGUAAAGCACUUUAAGUUGGGAGGAAGAGCAGUUAACUAAUAUUUGACUGUUUUGACGUUACCGACAGAAUAAGCACCGGCUAACUUCGUGCCAGCCGCCGCCGUAA